UUAGAUGUCCGGGGCCGCACGCGAGCUACAAUGGAGGAAACAGCGUGUGUUAUCCUCGUCCGACGGGACUGGGUAAGCCGCUGAACUUUCUUCGUGACGGGGAUAGGGGAUUGUAACUGUUCCCCUCGAACGAGGAAUUCCUAGUAGUCGCGGAUCAUCAGUCCGCGGCGACUAGGUCCCUGCCCUUUGUACACACCGCCCGUCGCUACUACCGAUUGAACGGAUUAGUGAGGUCUUUGGACCGGUGUUCUCUCUGGGCGUCCGUCCGGAGGGGACCUGCCGGGAAGACGACCGAACUUGUUCGUUUAGAGGAAGUAAAAGUCGWAACAAGGUUACC
Molecule: ribosomal RNA, 337 nt
Filed under: Pholcus baguio
Lineage: Eukaryota; Metazoa; Arthropoda; Arachnida; Araneae; Pholcidae
Description: bacterial SSU rRNA
Source: RNAcentral